CACGUAGGGCGCAAGCGUUGUCCGGAAUUAUUGGGCGUAAAGCGCGCGUAGGCGGUUACUUAAGUCGGAUGUGAAAGCCCUCGGCUUAACUGAGGAAGUGCACCCGAAACUGAGUAGCUAGAGUACGAAAGAGGGUCGCGGAAUUCCCGGUGUAGAGGUGAAAUUCGUAGAUAUCGGGAGGAACACCGGUGGCGAAGGCGGCGACCUGGGUCGAGACUGACGCUGAGGCGCGAAAGCGUGGGGAGCAAACAGG
Molecule: ribosomal RNA, 253 nt
Filed under: uncultured bacterium
Lineage: Bacteria
Description: partial 16S ribosomal RNA
Rfam family: Bacterial small subunit ribosomal RNA
Source: RNAcentral